Molecule: long non-coding RNA, 356 nt
Organism: Aotus nancymaae (Ma's night monkey)
Lineage: Eukaryota; Metazoa; Chordata; Mammalia; Primates; Aotidae
Source: Ensembl
UGUUCGGUGAUAUUUAUAGAUCUCACCUUUUUUCAUGGUAGAGUAACAGUCACUGUUCCUUUGUAGAGGCUCCAUCAGCCUGGGUUCCUGAGUAACCGUAACACAGAACUGACUUGAGAUGGACACACAGCCUGAGUAAGAAAUCAGACUUGGAGGUUCCUGAAUUACUACAGAAUAACCCAAGGGUGAAGUGGGGGAAACAGGAUCUGACUUCGUCACCCAGGCUGGAGUGCAGUGGUGCAAUCUUGGCUCACUGCAGCCUCCGUCUCCCAGGCUCAAGUGAUCUUCCCACCUCAGCCUCCUGAGUAGCUGGUACUACAGGUGAGUACCACUGCAUCCAACUAAUUUUUGUAUUU